GAGGGAACUCUUGCCCAACCAUGCCGAGCGCAGGAUGACUGCCCUAUGGGAUGUAAAAAGGUUUUGUCCAGGAAUAAAUCUUUGUACGUGUACUUUACUGAAUGUACCGGAAGAAUAAGCAUCGGCUAACUUCGUGCCAGCAGCCGCGGUAAUACGGAGGAUGCGAGCGUUAUUCGGAAUUAUUGGGUGUAAAGGGUGCGUAGGCGGCUUUUUAAGUCAGGGGUGAAAGCCCGCAGCUCAACUGUGGCAGUGCCUUUGAUACUGUCGAGCUUGAAUGUGGUAGAGGAUGGCGGAAUGACGCAAGUAGCGGUGAAAUGCAUAGAUAUGUGUCAGAACUCCAGUGGCGAAGGCGGCAGUCUAAGUCAUACUGACGCUGA
RNAcentral lists this ribosomal RNA (377 nucleotides) under Sphingobacterium sp. E3. RNAcentral's name for it is "bacterial SSU rRNA". It matches the Rfam family "Bacterial small subunit ribosomal RNA", at positions 374 to 749 of the family's 1533-position model. The record is from RNAcentral. Lineage: Bacteria; Pseudomonadati; Bacteroidota; Sphingobacteriia; Sphingobacteriales; Sphingobacteriaceae.